This is a long non-coding RNA of Camelus dromedarius (Arabian camel), 375 nucleotides long. RefSeq lists it as uncharacterized. The transcript is spliced from 4 exons. NCBI's taxonomy places the organism in Eukaryota, Metazoa, Chordata, Mammalia, Artiodactyla, Camelidae. The record is from RefSeq and is a predicted model, not a curated record.
CACGGUGAGCUUUCAGCUGAACGGGAGACUGUCCCUCCUCUGCCUGCUCCUCCACAGUGUCCUCUACUGAGAUCACACCCGGAAUAAACCACUUGCAGUUGAAUGUGUGUCCAUGGGUUGGCUUCUAAGACACAGUUUCUGGAUGUGGACUCUAAAAGAAGAGGAUGAGCUGCUUUGUUAGGGCAUCAGGAAAGAUGGCUGAAAGUGUUCUCCAUUCCCCAGCAAGAGGGAAUCCUGAUGGCCAGAAGGAACACCGGAACUGUAGCACAUGGCACAGAACAGCAAAAGGGGAGCUGAAAGCCUGAAGGACCACCGGAACUUUAGCCCAGGUGCCCGGAAGGUACCGUGCGGCAACACCUUUAGAAAACUGCAGCG